GUAAUUAUAGGCCUGUCGGACUGACAUCAAUCCUGGACAGUGGCGGCUUGCUGCGAAUGGAAGGAGUCGUGUUCUCGAUGUAUGUGUGUGUGUAUCCCACGGUUUGUUGCUUCACUGCCAAGCAGCAUGCAUCUUGGGAUUGUGGGAAGCCAGGGAGAAAUCACUGGUGAGUCUAGGACAUUGGCCUCUCAGCUUCCCCAGCAAGCAAUGUGUUGACUGAACUAAGGGAACAGUUUUACUUCCUGAAGCCAGUAGAGACUAUUUAUACUUAAACACAUUUCUUCACAACUUACAGCAUGUUGUAUUAGGUGAGAGCCUGUGAGCUGGACAGGCUGCAAUCUCUGUUUGUGCGGUUUGCAAGCUGGAGCUUGUGGUGUGCUUCACCAAGUUUGCACAUUUUCUCUUUCUCUUUACCCUGGAAUCAGCUACCCUGCUGAUCUGAAGUCCCUUUGGGAUGUGAACUCAUCUCACCAGAAGUCAAAGUGCUGAUGCAAUAAAACAAGCAGU
Mauremys reevesii (Reeves's turtle) is the source of this 507-nucleotide long non-coding RNA. RefSeq lists it as uncharacterized. NCBI's taxonomy places the organism in Eukaryota, Metazoa, Chordata, Testudines, Geoemydidae. The record is from RefSeq and is a predicted model, not a curated record. The transcript is spliced from 3 exons.